GACGAACGCUGGCGGCGUGCCUAAUACAUGCAAGUCGAACGCUGAAGAGAGGAGCUUGCUCUUCUUGGAUGAGUUGCGAACGGGUGAGUAACGCGUAGGUAACCUGCCUUGUAGCGGGGGAUAACUAUUGGAAACGAUAGCUAAUACCGCAUAACAAUGGAUGACACAUGUCAUUUAUUUGAAAGGGGCAAUUGCUCCACUACAAGAUGGACCUGCGUUGUAUUAGCUAGUAGGUGAGGUAAUGGCUCACCUAGGCGACGAUACAUAGCCGACCUGAGAGGGUGAUCGGCCACACUGGGACUGAGACACGGCCCAGACUCCUACGGGAGGCAGCAGUAGGGAAUCUUCGGCAAUGGGGGCAACCCUGACCGAGCAACGCCGCGUGAGUGAAGAAGGUUUUCGGAUCGUAAAGCUCUGUUGUAAGUCAAGAACGGGUGUGAGAGUGGAAAGGUCACACUGUGACGGGAGCUUACCAGAAAGGGACGGCUAACUACG
This 495-nucleotide ribosomal RNA is filed under the name uncultured bacterium. Its description in RNAcentral is "partial 16S ribosomal RNA". It matches the Rfam family "Bacterial small subunit ribosomal RNA", at positions 28 to 505 of the family's 1533-position model. The record is from RNAcentral.